AAAAAGACAAACCUUGGAUUUCCGUGUCCAACUUUGAUUGUCCGUCUUAUAUAAAAUUUUUUUAUAAUUCGUAUUUUUAUUAUUGUUAGAUGAUAAAACAUGAUUAAUACUUUGUGCGUGACUUAUCUUUUUAAUUUUUUUCAUAUUUUUUUCAAAUAAGACGAACGGUCAAACGUUGGGCACGGAAACCAGGGUUUGUCUUUUU
RNAcentral lists this microRNA precursor (205 nucleotides) under Oryza sativa Indica Group (long-grained rice). RNAcentral describes it as "MIR812 microRNA precursor family". It matches the Rfam family "MIR812 microRNA precursor family". Lineage: Eukaryota; Viridiplantae; Streptophyta; Magnoliopsida; Poales; Poaceae. The record is from Rfam by way of RNAcentral.